GAUGAACGCUGGCGGCGUGCCUAAUACAUGCAAGUCGAGCGAACGGACGAGAAGCUUGCUUCUCUGAUGUUAGCGGCGGACGGGUGAGUAACACGUGGAUAACCUACCUAUAAGACUGGGAUAACUUCGGGAAACCGGAGCUAAUACCGGAUAAUAUUUUGAACCGCAUGGUUCAAAAGUGAAAGACGGUCUUGCUGUCACUUAUAGAUGGAUCCGCGCUGCAUUAGCUAGUUGGUAAGGUAACGGCUUACCAAGGCAACGAUGCAUAGCCGACCUGAGAGGGUGAUCGGCCACACUGGAACUGAGACACGGUCCAGACUCCUACGGGAGGCAGCAGUAGGGAAUCUUCCGCAAUGGGCGAAAGCCUGACGGAGCAACGCCGCGUGAGUGAUGAAGGUCUUCGGAUCGUAAAACUCUGUUAUUAGGGAAGAACAUAUGUGUAAGUAACUGUGCACAUCUUGACGGUACCUAAUCAGAAAGCCACGGCUAACUACGUGCCAGCAGCCGCGGUAAUACGUAGGUGGCAAGCGUUAUCCGGAAUUAUUGGGCGUAAAGCGCGCGUAGGCGGUUUUUUAAGUCUGAUGUGAAAGCCCACGGCUCAACCGUGGAGGGUCAUUGGUAACUGGAAAACUUGAGUGCAGAAGAGGAAAGUGGAAUUCCAUGUGUAGCGGUGAAAUGCGCAGAGAUAUGGAGGAACACCAGUGGCGAAGGCGACUUUCUGGUCUGUAACUGACGCUGAUGUGCGAAAGCGUGGGGAUCAAACAGGAUUAGAUACCCUGGUAGUCCACGCCGUAAACGAUGAGUGCUAAGUGUUAGGGGGUUUCCGCCCCUUAGUGCUGCAGCUAACGCAUUAAGCACUCCGCCUGGGGAGUACGACCGCAAGGUUGAAACUCAAAGGAAUUGACGGGGACCCGCACAAGCGGUGGAGCAUGUGGUUUAAUUCGAAGCAACGCGAAGAACCUUACCAAAUCUUGACAUCCUUUGACAACUCUAGAGAUAGAGCUUUCCCCUUCGGGGGACAAAGUGACAGGUGGUGCAUGGUUGUCGUCAGCUCGUGUCGUGAGAUGUUGGGUUAAGUCCCGCAACGAGCGCAACCCUUAAGCUUAGUUGCCAUCAUUAAGUUGGGCACUCUAAGUUGACUGCCGGUGACAAACCGGAGGAAGGUGGGGAUGACGUCAAAUCAUCAUGCCCCUUAUGAUUUGGGCUACACACGUGCUACAAUGGACAAUACAAAGGGCAGCGAAACCGCGAGGUCAAGCAAAUCCCAUAAAGUUGUUCUCAGUUCGGAUUGUAGUCUGCAACUCGACUACAUGAAGCUGGAAUCGCUAGUAAUCGUAGAUCAGCAUGCUACGGUGAAUACGUUCCCGGGUCU
This 1372-nucleotide ribosomal RNA is filed under the name uncultured bacterium. RNAcentral describes it as "bacterial SSU rRNA". It matches the Rfam family "Bacterial small subunit ribosomal RNA", at positions 28 to 1381 of the family's 1533-position model. The record is from RNAcentral.